AACGUAGGAGGCGAGCGUUAUCCGGAUUUACUGGGUGUAAAGCGCGUGCAGGCGGCUUCGUAAGUCGUGCGUGAAAGCGCCCGGCCCAACCGGGCGAGGUCGUGCGAAACUGCGGGGCUUGAGGUAGGUAGAGGCGUAUGGAAUUCCGGGUGUAGUGGUGAAAUGCGUAGAUAUCCGGAGGAACACCAGUGGCGAAGGCGAUGCGCUGGGCCUGACCUGACGCUAAGACGCGAAAGCACGGGUAGCGAACGGG
RNAcentral lists this ribosomal RNA (253 nucleotides) under uncultured bacterium. RNAcentral describes it as "partial 16S ribosomal RNA". It matches the Rfam family "Bacterial small subunit ribosomal RNA", at positions 524 to 776 of the family's 1533-position model. The record is from RNAcentral.